This 143-nucleotide non-coding RNA is filed under the name Micromonospora rifamycinica. The record is from RNAcentral. Lineage: Bacteria; Bacillati; Actinomycetota; Actinomycetes; Micromonosporales; Micromonosporaceae.
AGAGGGAACCCGGUGGGAAUCCGGGACCGCCCCCCGCAGCGGUGAGUGGGAACGACCGCCGUCAUCAGCACUGGGCCCACCGGGGCCUGGGAAGCGACAGCCAGGAGGCGGUUGCGCUGUCAUCGGCAUCGCGGCUGGCACCU